RNAcentral lists this ribosomal RNA (439 nucleotides) under uncultured bacterium. RNAcentral describes it as "partial 16S ribosomal RNA". It matches the Rfam family "Bacterial small subunit ribosomal RNA", at positions 339 to 795 of the family's 1533-position model. The record is from RNAcentral.
CUACGGGCGGCACCAGUGAGGAAUAUUGCGCAAUGGGGGGAACCCUGAUGCAGCAACGCCGCGUGGAGGAUGACGCAUUUCGGUGUGUAAACUCCUUUUAUAUGUCAAGAAAAUGACGGUAGCAUAUGAAUAAGCACCGGCUAACUCCGUGCCAGCAGCCGCGGUAAUACGGAGGGUGCAAGCGUUACUCGGAAUCACUGGGCGUAAAGGACGCGUAGGCGGGUUGGAAAGUCAGGUGUGAAAUCCUACAGCUUAACUGUAGAACUGCACUUGAAACUUCUAAUCUAGAGUAUGGGAGGGGGAGAUGGAAUUAGUGGUGUAGGGGUAAAAUCCGUAGAUAUCACUAGGAAUACCUAAAGCGAAGGCGAUCUCCUGGAACAUUACUGACGCUAAGGCGUGAAAGCGUGGGGAGCAAAUAGGAUUAGAUACCCCCGUAGUC